UAGUCUAGAGGCUAGGAUUCCUGGUUUUCACUCAGGAUGCCCAGGUUCAAUUCCUGA
Molecule: non-coding RNA, 57 nt
Organism: Sus scrofa (pig)
Lineage: Eukaryota; Metazoa; Chordata; Mammalia; Artiodactyla; Suidae
Source: Rfam